Molecule: ribosomal RNA, 33 nt
Filed under: Macrophomina phaseolina
Lineage: Eukaryota; Fungi; Ascomycota; Dothideomycetes; Botryosphaeriales; Botryosphaeriaceae
Also listed under: 2 other names
Description: partial 28S ribosomal RNA
Source: RNAcentral
CGCUGAACUUAAGCAUAUCAAUAAGCGGAGGAA